AUGAAAAAUUGAAGCCAUCAGCAUGAAAUUGUGAAGUUAACAGGCUGAUGAAAUUCCUGGGAACCUUGACUUCAGACAACCACCACUGCCUCAAGCCCUGUCCUACCUCACUAAUAGUUAAGCAUAACCUCUGGGAACUAGAGGAGGAUAAAUAUGUCUCUCACAUAACCCUUGAGAGGAAUUGUUUAGACAUGAAUUUGUAGCCCAAUUCUGUCACUUAGUAUCUAUGUAGCCUUGAGGAACUUGCUAUGUCUCCAUUUAAUCUAGCUUGCACAGUAGUUAUGCCUACCUCAUAGGAUAACUAUAAACAUUAAAUGAGUUUAUAUCAAGCCUUUAGAUCAAUUCCUGGCCUGUUAGCCACUGUUAGUCCCUCAGAGCUGAGUUUCUUCCACUGACUGAGCUGCCUAGAGGACUGUCCAUAUCUGCAUGGUAAUAUCUAUAUGUAAAGAGUUGUCCAAAGAAGUCCAUGGGCUCAUAUCGGGAAGAGCUUAAGGUGAUCCUAGGUCAAGAAUGGAGGUUGAAAACAAAUAAAAAUUUUAAUUACAAUGACAAAUAAAAGUCAUAGAACAUUGUAAAGCACUAUUUGCUCCAGACCGGGGCGAAUAGGUUAGAGAGCAUUUGAUCAGCUUUCGAUAUUUCCUAUGGAACUACUCCAACCUGGUGAACCUGGCUUAAAAAUUGCAUGCUGCUUUGGCAGGGUACAUCCUGUAAUGGCAUGCUCUUUUAGAGUUGCGUGCCUCCACAGCAUAUGAACGGGCUUGGGCUUUGAUGAAUACUGAAAGCAGAAAUCAGUCCCUUGAAAUGAAUUUCUGAAGAAGAGCUUAAGGGUUUGGAUCCAUUUCUCCUAUCAUUAAAAAGUUUGCUCUCUUAAGGAAAUCCUGCUCACUUUAAAUUAUAGAAAUUUAGAGCCAGAAGGCACCUUAGAGAUCAUUCCUUAUUCUCCUAAAAGGGAGGAACGUGUUGCUAACUAGGUCUGAGGUUUAAUCAUCAAGUUCUGAACAAGACCCUGGCAUUUUCUAGUGCUCCUAGGAUCUCUGUUUCCCCUUCCUCAACUGAAACUUCUGAAAGGAUUUUUAAAAAUUUACUGAAUGUUCUUGUUAACCACUCUUUGCUAGGUCACUUUAAACAAAGGAGACCUAUUGAUUAAGAAAAUAAAGAACAACAACAGAAGGUCACUUCUAAAUGAUGGUAUUGGAUCGGCUUGGAAUAAUGUCCUUUAGAGCAAUAUGGUGUUUUCAGUGGAAUGUAGGAUGCACCUGCAAAGCCUGUUUUGGUCAGUGCUAAGGGAGAGGGAAGGAUCCAUCCUGUGUAGAUAAUCCACGUUCCCACAGCUCUUUGCCUUCUGAAAACUUGUUUACAGUGGAAGAAGUAGGAUACCAGUAAGUCACAAUUGCUGUGUAGGCAGCCCAGCAGAGUAGCAAUUACGUUCCCAGCUUUGGGCAUUUUCUUCUGUGGUUUAUACAUCUUGAAUUUCAACUUUUAAAAAUGUUCUUGAAAAUUCCACAAAUGAUGUGAAAUAUGAGGGAGGGGAGAGACAUGAGCCCGUAUUUUUUAAAGGUCUUACUUCACCCAGGAUGCAGGGAGCAAUGGUGAGUUCACCCAAGAAGCCUCAUGACAAAUGUGGAAGUUAAGUUUCACAUUGUGUUCGAGUCCUUGGGUUAAUAUUUAGCAAAAUUGGUUUGCAGAGUUGGGUCCGGCUCCAGACCUCUUUGGUCAACAUUUUUAGAUCCGUGCUGCUUGUGGAAGUCAUGGAUGAGCACAGGAUUGGUAUAAGGGCAUUGCCUGUAUAGGCAUCUGCUUUGCAUUCUGCAAGCUCCGUUGAGGGUAGAAGUACCAUCUUAAUUAUCUUUCCACUGGAAUGAAAUGCUCUUGUUCUGUAGUAACUAGAUAUUCUGACAUUGACACAAACCUCAUAGCUAAUUAUAGGCCCAAUCAGGCUUUCAAAGAUUGGACUUCUCAGCUGGAAAUUAAGUAGGAUUUCACACUAAGUACCUGCUUGGCACUUAGUAGUUGGUAAAUAAACAUUAGUUUUCUUCUCUCUCUUCAUGUAGCCCUGAAGGUGGGACAAGGCUAUGUGUGGAGAGGAGCUGGGUUGAAGUGGUGAUGUGUUCUGGGGUUCUUGAAUAUACCAGGAGGUUUAUUUACUACAAUGGAAAAAAAUCACAGUGUCAGACUAAAUCCCUUAGGAUCAAAUGUGCUACCGAGCAUUGUACUCAGAAUUUGAACAUCAUUUACAUUAUUGCCUCCGAGGAAAUUCAAUGACUCCCAAAUAAUGUAUAAUACAUUUUUGACCAGCAGAGCCCACAUCAUAGUCCACUCAUCUCAGCACUUCGGGUGAUAGAUGUUGCAAUUUAUUCAAAGAGUUAUGAUUUUCUGAGGAAAUGGUGACUCAUUUAAUGGCUUAGAUAUUCACUCUUUAGAACCUGUGAGGUGAAAUGUUCAUGGUACAAGUUUACGCAGGAGGUAUUACCAUGCUGAGUGCUUACUGAACAAGGUUUCAGCUGGGAAGUGUAUUCCAAGGCAAUACACUGGAUGGUGUUUGCAAACACCUACUACACUGCUUACGUGAGAAGCAGAAUCUAGAGAACUCUCCCUUAAACGGUACCUAAUCUUAAGUUCUUGCUUUAAAAAAUACACAGAAAGUCUGCACCCAAAGGCAGUUAUCAUUUCUUUUUUUUUAGGUUUAUUUAUUUGAAAAUCAGAGUUAGAGAAGGAGAGGCAGAGAGAGAGUUCUUCCAUUUGCUUGUUCACUCCCUAAUUGGCCGCAACAGCCGGAGCUGUGCUGAUCCGAAGCCAGGAGCCAGGAGUUUCUUUCAGGUCUCCCACAUGGGUGCAGGGGCCCAAGGACUUGGGCCAUCCUCCACUGCUUUCCCAGGCCAUAGCAGAGAGCUGGAUCAGAAGAAGAGCAGCUGGGACUCAAACCGGCGCCCAUACGGGAUGCUGGCACUUCAGGCCAGGGCUUUAACACACUGUGCCAUAGUGCUGGCUGCAGAUGGUUAUCAUUUCAAAAGAGGUGUGAGGUAGGCAGAAGAGAGACCAAGCCAGCUGAAGAAGACAGCUGCUUGCACGGCUCUACAAGGUGUGUGUUCCGUGGGCCAGGCUGCAGUAGGAAGCUCGCAGAAGGCAGGUCCCAUCUCAGUCUCAGCUGGGAGAAUCAGAUGCACAGAGAGGCUUGAAAAGACGUGCGGGGAAGGUUCUCCCUGCCACUUCUCUGAGGCCGUAGAGGUAGCUCUCCCCACCCCCACUAUAUUGCAGGUGCCUGCUGGCAUAUGUGACUGGUUGAACUCGGGCACAAUGAGAGCCGUCACGUUUUUCUCCUCACUCAGUUCUCCCACACAGAAUUCUUGGUGCUCUAGGUGUGGGUGGAAACAGCUAAAUGUGGCUUCUGGGUGAUGAGGAAACUAUAGUUUUCCUUUUGUUUGAUCAAGAUGUGGGAAGAAGCCAUUGGAGGCAUUCAAAGCAGAAGAAAACCUAAACAAACAGCACUCCAAGAGAAACCCGAAAUCAGAGGGAAGAGAAGCAAACAAGCUGCUGACGCUGAGGGAUCCCAUGGAAAUGUGCUUCGUCAGACUUUCCUAGCCUACGAAAAAUCUUGUUUCUGUUCUGUCUUGGUAGGCUUCGACUCUCGGUACACUCUGCCAUCUAUUUUUCGGAUACAGUCAGUCAUAAUGGAUUCUAAACAGACACUACAGUUGGAGAAAAGAGUGAAGCUAUGAAUAUUCUUGGAUGUUAACAGAAUGAUGAGCAACCUAGAAGGUUAAAAGCAAAAAGCAAGAAAAGUGAUUGGAAGAGACAGAGAAGGUAACUUGUUUGGAAAUUGAACCAGUCUGCUGCCCUCACCAGGAGGCAUGGAACAUGGAAGGUUUGGUAUGAAACACUGUUGCUCUGUGCCCUCUGCAUAGUAUCACUCCCUUUGUGUGUUUUAGGGGCUUAUGUCACAAGGAUUGAAGGCAGAUCAUACCUUU
This is a non-coding RNA of Oryctolagus cuniculus (rabbit), 3965 nucleotides long. The record is from RefSeq and is a predicted model, not a curated record. NCBI's taxonomy places the organism in Eukaryota, Metazoa, Chordata, Mammalia, Lagomorpha, Leporidae.